UACGUAGGUUGCGAGCGUUGUCCGGAAUUACUGGGCGUAAAGAGCUCGUAGGUGGUUUGUCGCGUUGUUCGUGAAAACUCACAGCUUAACUGUGGGCGUGCGGGCGAUACGGGCAGACUGGAGUACUGCAGGGGAGACUGGAAUUCCUGGUGUAGCGGUGGAAUGCGCAGAUAUCAGGAGGAACACCGGUGGCGAAGGCGGGUCUCUGGGCAGUAACUGACGCUGAGGAGCGAAAGCGUGGGGAGCGAACAGG
RNAcentral lists this ribosomal RNA (253 nucleotides) under uncultured bacterium. RNAcentral describes it as "partial 16S ribosomal RNA". It matches the Rfam family "Bacterial small subunit ribosomal RNA", at positions 524 to 776 of the family's 1533-position model. The record is from RNAcentral.